Molecule: ribosomal RNA, 236 nt
Filed under: uncultured Staphylococcus sp.
Lineage: Bacteria; Bacillati; Bacillota; Bacilli; Caryophanales; Staphylococcaceae
Description: partial 16S ribosomal RNA
Rfam family: Bacterial small subunit ribosomal RNA
Source: RNAcentral
GGGUUAGUAACACGUGGAUAACCUACCUAUAGGACUGGGAUAACUUCGGGAAACCGGAGCUAAUACCGGAUAAUAUAUUGAACCGCAUGGUUCAAUAGUGAAAGACGGUUUUGCUGUCACUUAUAGAUGGAUCCGCGCCGCAUUAGCUAGUUGGUAAGGUAACGGCUUACCAAGGCAACGAUGCGUAGCCGACCUGAGAGGGUGAUCGGCCACACUGGAACUGAGACACGGUCCAG